UAGGGAAUUUUCCACAAUGGGCGAAAGCCUGAUGGAGCAACACCGCGUGCAGGAUGAAGGCCUUCGGGUUGUAAACUGCUUUUAUCUGUGACGAUUAUGACGGUAGCAGAUGAAUAAGGAUCGGCUAACUCCGUGCCAGCAGCCGCGGUCAUACGGAGGAUCCAAGCGUUAUCCGGAAUUACUGGGCGUAAAGAGUUGCGUAGGCGGCAUAGUAAGCAGGUAGUGAAAUGAUGAGGCUCAACCUCAUGUCCAUUACUUGAACUGCUAAGCUAGAGUGUGAGAGAGGUACCUGGAAUUUCUAGUGUAGGAGUGAAAUCCGUAGAUAUUAGAAGGAACACCGAUGGCGUAGGCAGGGUACUGGCUCAUUACUGACGCUCAGGCACGAAAGCGUGGGGAGCGA
RNAcentral lists this ribosomal RNA (400 nucleotides) under uncultured bacterium. RNAcentral describes it as "bacterial SSU rRNA". It matches the Rfam family "Bacterial small subunit ribosomal RNA", at positions 355 to 771 of the family's 1533-position model. The record is from RNAcentral.